AGUUUUUAUUAAUGACCUGCCGACAUCAUAUAGUUCAUGAAAUGCUCUGAAUGUGUACAUGCUGAUGAUAUGACCUCAGACCUAGCAAGAACUCAGGCAGUAUGAAAGCAUUGUGUGUUUAAUUUAGAGAUUUAUUGAGUGAUGUUCACAACAUAGAUACAAAGUUUACGCAGAAUUUACAGGCCCGCAGUUUUUUUAACUACACAGAAAAAUCCUGGGGAAUUUUAUAGUCACCUAUAUUAUAAAUGGAAAUAAGAGCACCAGUAGCUUAAGUGGAAAAUGAAAAGUAUAUCUGGGCCUUUAUAUACAAUCAUAUUCCCAUAUCAAAUAAUAUAAUUUUGGUUGGUAAAAACUUCACAUUUCAGAAGUAUGCUAUUUCCCAGUAAAGAGUUAAAAAAAUAUAUAAAUAUAUGUAGCUUCUUUAUACCCAUCUCUCUGAACGAAAAUGUGGAUGUAUACUUUCUUCAGAAUGUUCUUUUAAGUUCAGUCAGUUAUGAAGUGACAAAAUUUCUCCACAGUAACAAAAGGUUCUUUAAGACUAGAUUGCCAAGUAUAGUUUUGUAUCAUCCACUUGCUAAAACAUAUAUAAAGGUGGAGUACACUGGUUAUGGUCCAUAUGCUUUGGAGUAACUUCUCCACUUACAGAAAUCUCCCUUUGCUGCCUCCCUGUAGAGGAAGAGGUAGGGUACUGGACCAUAUAUAGUAUAGUAGGAUUCUCCAUACUUUCCUUGGACCAAAAUAGAGGAAUUGUUUCUACAGAGAGAAAGAGAACAGUCUGGAUGGAUGGCUUUUGUGCCUGGGUUUUCAGUACAUCCUAAGUUCAGCAGCACAGACCUUGGGUUCCAGGGGUUUCUUCUAUGGCUCAUAAUAAACUUUCCUUGUGUGUAGAAGCUAUACAUAUACUAAUUGCAAGGAGAUGAAAGGCAUAUGGUUUCUGUACCAAGGAACUUAUAGUUCAGUGGGCUAUACAGUGGUUAAGAGAAAGAGUUCUGAGCAAGGUCACCUGGUUUCAAAUUCUAGUUCUGUUGUUAUCCAGAUGAGCAACAUCGGGAACACUGCUUAUCCUCUCUGGUUUUAGUGUCUCCAUGCCCAAUAUGGAGAUCAUAAUCUUAGCUACCUCAUCGAGCUGCUGAGGGUUAAGUUAGAUAAUACACAUUAGAGGCUUCCCAAAGUGAGAAACAUAUACAAUGCUGAAUGAACAGUUAAGUACGGUUGUUAUUAAAGAAAUAAGCAUCCUACCAUAAGAAAAGUGCUAUAGAAUAAUAAACAAUACAUUUCAAGAGCACAGGAGGAGAAUCAGUCAGUUCUGACUUAAGGAAAUGGCAGUUGAAGAGAAGGACAUGGAAGAGAUGACAUUUAAAAAUAAUAGUCACAAGGUGCCUGGGUGGCUCAGUCGGUUAAGCAGCCGACUUGGUUCAGGCCAUAUCUUGCCGUUCGUGGGUUCGAGCCCCGUGUUGGGCUCUGUGUCCAGCUCAAAGCCUGGAGCCUGCUUCUUAUUCCGUGUCUUCUUCUCUCUGCCCCUCCCCCACUCAUGCUCUGUCUCUUUCUCAAAAAUAAGUAAAAACAUUAAAAAAUUUUUAAAUAGAUAAUAGUCACUGCUGCACAAUUAUUAUGUUGCAGGCACUGAACUGAGCACUUUAGAGACUUGAUCUCAUUUAAUCCUCAUUUAAUACAAUGCCCUGUAAAAGGACUCUUCUUUUCCAGAGGACACUCUGAGCUAUGAAGCAAUGAAGCAGUGAAGGCUGAAUAAUUUGCCCCAGUUCCCAGAGCCAGGAGGUGGCAGGGCUGGGAUGUGGCUUGAAGCCAUGCUAGAUCCACACCAAAGUUUUUAAGCAUAUUAAUGCCCAUGCUUUUGAGUGCUACACUGCGUCUCCUUCCCGCCCCCGCCCCCGGCACAUCUGGAAAGGGUGUAUGCUGGUUGAAGACAGGGCUAGGCAGAGAACAAUUUCAGGCAGAGAGAAAAAUAUGUGUAACUGUACAGAGGUGUGAAAAUAUGUAAAAGGAGUCUGGGGACCACAUGUAAAGGGCCACUGGGGCCAGGCUAGAGUCUGGACUUGGGCUUAUGAAUAGUGGGGAGCCACUGAAGAAUUUUAAAGCCACCAAGAGAAGUCACAUAAUCAGCUUUGCAUCUGAGAGAAAAAAUACUAGGGACAGUGGUUCUGGAUUGAUUGAGGGGCCUUGACAUUACAGGUGGGAAACCUUUGGGAAGAUCUGGGCAAGAAAUGGUGAGAGCUUGAGGUUAGAGAAAAGCAGAGGGGUUGGUGAAAACAACAGAUUGGAGAGGCGUUUCGGUGGUGGAUUGAACGGGGCUUGAAAACGGGUUGCCUGAGUGCAGGAGAGUGAAGCAGAGGCUGCCACAGGUUUCCGUCUUGCUGGCUGGUGAUUGAAAUUAAUGGAGAUGGUGAAUGCAUGAAGUUUACUUAAUUUCCCUGUAAGGAUUUGUUGGGUAAAGCCAGGGUUAAGAAAUAGAAAAACUUCUAAAGGAGAUAUUUAGGAGCAUUUUCAGAGACUUAAACUUGACAAUGCAAACUUCUAUUGUCUAAAAGAGGAGUAAAGGAGAAAUUAAAGGUACCGGCACCUUGGAAAAUUUCCAAUUGCCAUUACAGGCUCUUAGAGGGUCACUGGAAAUGGCAAGUAUGCACAACUUUCAAUUACAGUAAAAGCUCACUGAUUUGGAUUAAUUGGGGUAAAGGGCAGCCUGACUAAAUAAAAGUCUGAUUUAUAGAAAAAAUUUUAAAUAAACUCUGAUUACUUAUUUAAGUAUUUUAAGCUAAGUUAACUCUGUUUUCUAUCACAAGUGAUAAAUUACUAAGAAUGAUUUGCAAAUAAUAAGAAAAAGUCCUAGUCUAAAGGGCAAUUGUAUUUAUUAAUUUGUUCAUUAAUUUAAUAAAUAUUUAGUGCCCACCAUAUGCCAGGCAAUACUGAACAUAAAUAAUGCUUCUGAGCAUCACUCUUUAUGCUUUUAAAAUAACCAAUGCUCUUCUUUUCUUGUAAGUCUGAAUCUUGACAAAGCUUGGAUAUCUGAAAAUCUGGCCUCAGGAUGAAUCGCCUUGUAAGCCUUUCCUUGUGGUGCAUAAAGUAGAAAGAUCUCCAUUUCAAUGAUCACAAUUAGUGAGGUGGAAAGUCAGAGGUUUUCCUGUAGCAGAGUCUCCUAUUGGUCUCCAUGCUUCUGUUCUUAUAGUUCUUCCAUCCAUCUUCCUCUCUGCCCUGGGCACCGUUUCUGAAAUGUAAAUCUCACCCUGUUGGUUCCAAUUUUCAUCUCCUUCCAUCUUGGAUAUCAUCUACAGGAUAACAUUCAAACAAGUUCUUUGGCAUGGAAUUCAAGACUCUGGUCAUAUAUCAAUCCUUACCUAUUUCUAUGUAACUCACUCAGAAUUUGCCCCAAGCUUGCUUCUCAGAACCUGCUGCUCCCUGGCUCUGUAUUUUUGCAUAUGUUGUCCCAUCUGCUUAGAAGUCCCUUAACAUUUUAUCCUUGAACUUUUAUUCAUCCUUCAAAACUUGGUCAGGAGGGACCUUUUCUUUUUUCUCCCUCCUGGGCAGAAUGCCUCACCCCUUCUUUGUUUUACUUCUGUGAUUCUGAUAUUGCAUGUAUCACAUGAACAUUUGUUUAUGUGUUUAAAUGUUUCUCUCCCCUACAAGACAAUACAUUUCUUGAGGUUGGGGGGCUUUGUUGCUUUCAUAUUUGUCUCUAUGGUAUUAAGUGUAGCAUCAGAUACAGUAUAGAUACUAAUAAGUAUUUACUGAAUUAAGUUGAGUGGACUGUUCUUAACUAGUGUGGAUUCUACCAAGACUUCUUGCCUUGCCUUUUUUAUCCUGGCCCCUGUGUAUUCAAUUUAGCCUUACUUAUAACAAAUACUGGUCAUCAUACAAGGAGAAAGGGGUACCCAGUCAAAUAAAAAAAAAAAAAUCAUGUAGUUAUUUCUCAUUAUAAAUUUGGGUUGAAAAGGUGCUUUACAAUUAUGUAUACAUGUUUUCUUACCUUUAUAAUUAAUUUUUCUAUACAAUCCACUCUCAUUCUCUCAGUCUGCUCCCACCACAUCUUCUUUCUAUCACUGUAUCCAUAUCACUGUCUGUAUAGGUUCAAAGGCAGCUCCGUAAUUAGACUACAAUUUUCUCUUUAAAUCUCAGUUUAGUGAUGUGCCAUCAGAAUCUCAGAACCCCCACAUCUGGGGGUUAGGCAUAUUUAAAUGCUAUAGUUUAUCUCCAUAAAUUCCUGCUACAUUUGAUCUUCUGACUAUUAGCUUUCUCUACUGUCUAACUCUUCCAGCAAUUCUGUCUUAGGGCCCAUAACUGUAAAUGAUCACUAUGACAAGAAGAGAUGCAAUUAGUUAGAUUAAUGUUCAAAGAGUUCCCUUUAAGUUGUCAAUACCCAUAUUUAUAUCAUAAUGCUGUAAUUUUGGCAGAAUUAUUUGCUUUUUAUGAAAAUCUGAUGAAGCAAUUUUCAGAUAUUCUAACAUGAAUCAAAAAUUUGAAAAAUACACAGAUACAUAUCCAUACUCCUAUUAACUUUUCUCCAUUUUAAGUAAUUUUAUAUUUUGGGAUUUGGGCUGGGAAAGAAGAGUAACUACAUAUUUUAAGAAUGGAUUUUCAAACAGACUUUCCAGUCUAGUUUUGAAAAGUCAAGGCAUCGUUUUUGGGCUUUGCUGACUGAUGGCAAAGUACAAAGAAAAUGGUGAAAAGAUUUUUCUUAAUAUCUAUAGGAAAGUAAUUUGAAAUCUUUGUAAUGUGCUGCCAGGUUCUAGUAUGUGUGAGGUUUUAUCACACACACACACACACACACACACACACACACACACACACACACAGGAUUAUAUGAGAAAGUAAAUAAAAACUAGUUUCUAAAACUAACCAAAGAGAAAAGGAGUAAUGGAGUUUAUAAUAGGUAAUUGUUCUGAUAUCCAACGCCAUAAAAUCCAGGCCAUAUUUCUGUAUUGUCAAGUAUUCUAGAGAUUGAAGUUCAGAGUCGUGUAUAUAGUUAGAGAUUUGGAUAUUGAUAGAAACCUGGUAAUGUUUUGGCUGGGUGGACUCAAUUUUCUUAUUUACAGUGAGUUAGCAGAAAAUAAGAAGACACAAUAGUAGAUUUUGUGUCAGCAUCAUUGUGCUCUGUUCAGAAAUUCUGAUCAUUUUACUUGCAGCCUUUGUCUCCAUUUUAUGUCACUGAAAAAGACACUUUUAAUGCUAAUGAAAGGCUUCCCCUCAUCCUUUACUCCUUAAGUUAAUCAAUUAAGGAAGCCCAUCACGAAGGAUCAUAAGUUCCACGAUGACGAUGUCAAGACUGUAAUUGGCUUUACUGCCUGUAUUAUUACUUACCAAAGCUUCAUUAUUACUAACACCACAUGACAGCAGAGAGAGCCCCUCACUGGUCUUUGUUUAAAGAAACCUCCAGAAGGGUUGCCCCUUAAUAAUAGUCUGUGAAAUCCCAAUCAUGCACUGAUUCAAUUCUGUAUUUUAAUUUUGUUGAUACCUAGUAUUUUAGAAGUUUGAAACUGCAAAAUGCAUGAAAUAAUGUUAUGUCUAGGAUCCAAGCAAAGCCACUCUGGGCCACUUGGUAAAUGUCCAUUUCAGAACAGGCAAUGCGUUCAGUUCUGUUGGCCUCCACUCCUGGAGGCAGAACCUCUUCAUAAUCUUGGGGAAUACGUUUGGGUAUCGGGAUUUGAUGAAAGCAAACCUGAGCGAGCCUGUGAGUAGCUUCCCUGGGUUCUCUGCUCUGAUUUAAUACCCAGAUCCCAGUGCAGUUGCACAUGAAUGCAUUAAGUAUCAAGAAACUGUACUUGCUUGAGGGAGGUGAUGGAUAUAGAGAUAAUUUUGGAUAAUUCCCCAUAUGUCAUGAUAUCUAAGAUAAAGAAAGAGAACAUUACUUGCUCCAUUAUGUCCUCUAAUACAAUUCAACAAACAUUAUUAAAUCCUUCUUAUGUGAAAGAUCCAGGAACCCAAAGUUAGGUUUGUGAAAUAAGUGAUCAUAAAAACAUUAAUCAUGAAAAUUCAUGAUCCAAAAGCUCUGUCUUAUUAAUCGUCCUUGUGGAUCAGCCUCUUCCCCAGUGUCUCUUAAUGCCAAAAGUUGGCUAACCUGGCUUUAAGUCAGAUGUUUACUGCAGGUGCUCAUUUUUUCAUUCAGUUAAUCAGUCAACACAUUUGCUGAGCAUGUAGUAUCUGUAGGUACUAUACUAGUUGCUGAGACUGAAUACAAGGGCUUAGUGGAAAAACAAAUGCGUACUUUAUUAUUAUGAAGAAUGAAGUCCAGUGUAAUAAAGAAAUAUGCUCAGUUGGCCAAUAUAAUUGUAAUCCUUAAUCAGCCAGCAUUCAAGAUAUCCAUAUAUGAAAGGCAGAUAUUCUACUGGCUGCCUUAUUAUAUUUACUUUCUCCUGGGGUUCUUUUCUAUGGUAACUGCUUUGCCUAGACUGAUCCUUUUUUCUGACUUAUACCACAAGCUUUGUGUGGAGUCUUUUUCUAUUGAUUCCAGCUGUUAAAGAAAUCUUGACUUGGGUAGUUAAUCAGUUCACUCUGCCCUGCCUCUGUCUGUGGCUCCUGCCUUCAACUCUUGGCCCUAGUCUGUGAUAUCUGGUCCUACCUCCUGUCUUAGUGGUCUCUGACCCAGGACCCCAUUGUGAGUUCUUGAGCUCAUUUCUGGUCUCUAUAAGGCUGCUGUUAACUGGGGUUCUGCUAUUGCACUCAGAUAAUAUAAGGAGUUUAUGCCAGUGAGUAUGCUGUUACAGAUAGCUCCAGGUUGGCAUAUCCUCAAAGUAAAUGAGUGUAUCUGUUGUCUUCUGCCACAAUAUGCAGUGCAAAAAUCAACCACACCACACAAUCCAGCAGCAUAAAACAAUAAGCGUUUACUUACCUCAUGAGUCUGUGAAUGGACAGGGCAGUUCUGUUCUUGGCUGGCAAGUCACUGACAAAGCAGAUUACUUACUGAUUGUUGCUAGGCCUUAGCACAUAUCUGUGUCCCAGGCCUGGAUGACUGGGCUGGCUCAGCCCUGCUCCAUGCAGCCUCUCAUUGUCCAGCAGACCAGCCCAGGUUUAUUUUCAUGGUAGCGGCAGGGUUCCAAGAAAGAGAGAAAGCAUACAAGGCCUCUUGAGCCCUAGGCUUGGAACUGGGUCACAGUGUCACUUUCACUGAUCUUUUUUGGCCAAAAUAAAUCACAAGGGCAGCCCAGAUUUAAGGGGUAGGAAAACAAACCUUGCCUCUUCUUGAAGGGAGUAGCUGCAAAGUCAAAAUCAAAGGAAUCUGGGAAAAUUGGGGCUUUCUUUUUCUAUCGGUCUUCCAAAAUGAAUUGGUUUCUGACGAUUUAACAGUAUAUUUCUCUAAAGUUUUUGGCUAGAACUUGAGGAGGAAUGGUGAUAUGGACAUAAAGUGUGGUGGAGAGAAAAGAUGAUCAACAUGGUGGUUUUUUUCCAUCCCUCCAUAGAGCAGUCUUGAGAGCUGUGCAAGGUGCCCUAGGAGAGAAUAAGGACUAGAGGAAUAAGCAAGGUAGGAAGCGAAGCAUUUGUGAAGUGGAGUACAAUGGCUUCUUCUGGAUGUUUGGUUGAAUCAUCCUGAUUGCUCCCACUUUCAUCUUGGUUUCCAAGAGCAGGGGGAAAUUAUAAGGAAUAUUCUGGGUGGCUUCUCUCCAGGAGAUCUGUGGAACCCUCACUAUCUGGAUGGUAGAUACAACCA
Molecule: long non-coding RNA, 7654 nt
Filed under: Lynx pardinus (Iberian lynx)
Lineage: Eukaryota; Metazoa; Chordata; Mammalia; Carnivora; Felidae
Source: RNAcentral